RNAcentral lists this ribosomal RNA (2106 nucleotides) under Apsilocephala longistyla. RNAcentral's name for it is "eukaryotic LSU rRNA". It matches the Rfam family "Eukaryotic large subunit ribosomal RNA", at positions 44 to 1864 of the family's 3401-position model. Lineage: Eukaryota; Metazoa; Arthropoda; Insecta; Diptera; Apsilocephalidae. The record is from RNAcentral.
UAAUGAGGGAAGGAAAAGAAACUAACAAGGAUUUUCUUAGUAGCGGCGAGCGAAAAGAAAAAAGUUCAUCACUGAGUUAUUUUGUUAAAUUAACAAAUAUAAGAUGCAGUGUAUGGAAUAUCUAUAAUCUAGUAUGAUAAAUUAAUAGUCCAAGUCCUUCUUGAAUGAGGCCAUUUACCCAUAGAGGGUGACAGGCCCGUAGUGACGUUAAUGAUUACUAGAAGAUAUUUCCUAAGAGUCGUGUUGCUUGAUAGUGCAGCACUAAUUUGGUGGUAAACUCCAUCUAAAACUAAAUAUAACCAUGAGACCGAUAGCAAACAAGUACCGUGAGGGAAAGUUGAAAAGAACUCUGAAUAGAGAGUUAAAUAGUACGUGAAACUGCUUAGAGGUUAAACCCGAUGAACCUAAAUAUCCAAUAUGAAAAAUUCAUCAUUAGGAAUAUAUUAAAAUAUUUAAUAUAUAAAUAGUGUGCAAUUUUUUCAUAUAAGGACAUUGUAAUCUGUUAAUAUUAUAUAAAAUUUAUCAUAAGUGCCGUUUGAAUAGUUUAUUUAUUAUUUAAUUUUUAUAAUUAAAUUUAAAUAAAAUUCAAUUUAAAUACGGUUACAAAUAAAUUGUUGACAGAUUUUUUACAUAUAUAGCGCUUACAUUAUAUAUGUUAUAAUAAAAUGAUAAUAAAUUAUUAUUGUUUUUAUUAUAUGCGUUUAUAUGAUUAACAAUGCGAUAGAUUUAGGAUACCUUCGGGACCCGUCUUGAAACACGGACCAAGAAGUCUAACAUAUGUGCAAGUCAUUGGGUAUAUUAAAACUUAAAGGCGUAAUUAACUUAACUGUUUAAAUGGGAUCAAUAUAUGUAUUAAUAAAUAAAACAUAAAUUCCAUCCCGGGGCGUUCUAUAUAGUUAUGUAUUUUAAUAUUUUUAUAUUAUAUAUGCCUCUAACUAGAGCGUACCUUGAGCAUAUAUGUUGUGACCCGAAAGAUGGUGAACUAUACCUGAUCAGGUUGAAGUCAGGGGAAACCCUGAUGAAUGACCGAAACAGUUCUGACGUGCAAAUCGAUUGUCAGAAUUGGGUAUAGGGGCGAAAGACCAAUCGAACCAUCUAGUAGCUGGUUCCCUCCGAAGUUUCCCUCAGGAUAGCUGGUGCAUUUAAAAAUUAUAUAAAAUAAUCUUAUCUGGUAAAGCGAAUGAUUAGAGGCCUUAGGGCCGAAACGACCUUAACCUAUUCUCAAACUUUAAAUGGGUAAGAACCUCACCUUUCUUGAUAUGAAGGUUGAGGUUAUGAUAUAUUGUGCCCAGUGGGCCACUUUUGGUAAGCAGAACUGGCGCUGUGGGAUGAACCAAACAUGAUGUUACGGUGCCUAAAUUAACAACUCAUACUGAUACCAUGAAAGGCGUUGUUUGCUUAAAACAGUAGGGCGGUGGACAUGGAAGUCGUAAUCCGCUAAGGAGUGUGUAACAACUCACCUGCCGAAGCAACUAGCCCUUAAAAUGGAUGGCGCUCAAGUUGUAUACCUAUACAUCAUCGCUAAAGCAUAUGAUUAAUAAAUUUAAUUUAUUAAUUUUGAAGCUUUAGUGAGUAGGAGGGUAUAAUGGUGUGCGUAGAAGUGUUUGGCGUAAGCCUGCAUGGAGCCGCCAUUAGCACAGAUCUUGGUGGUAGUAGCAAAUAAUCGAAUGAGACCUUGGAGGACUGAAGUGGAGAAGGGUUUCGUGUGAACAGUGGUUGAUCACGAGUUAGUCGGUCCUAAGUUCAAGGCGAAAGCCGAAAAUUUUUUAGUUAUCAAUUGAUAUACUAUAAAAAAUAUUGAACGAAAGGGAAUACGGUUCCAAUUCCGUAACCUGUUAAGUAUACGUUUGUUAUUAAAAAUGGGCUUUAUAUGCUCAUCCUGGCAACAGAAACAACCAUAAAGAAGCCGUCGAGAGAUAUCGAAAGAGUUUUCUUUUCUGUUUUAUAGUCGUACUACCAUGGAAGUCUUUCGAAGAGAGAUAUGGUGGAUGGACUAGAAGAGCAUGGCAUUUACUGCUGUGUCGAUAUUUUCUCCUCGGACCUUGAAAAUUUAUGGUGGGGUUACGCAAACUUACUUAACAGGCCGUACCGAUAUCCGCAGCUGGU